RNAcentral lists this ribosomal RNA (465 nucleotides) under uncultured Klebsiella sp. RNAcentral's name for it is "bacterial SSU rRNA". It matches the Rfam family "Bacterial small subunit ribosomal RNA", at positions 338 to 795 of the family's 1533-position model. The record is from RNAcentral. Lineage: Bacteria; Pseudomonadati; Pseudomonadota; Gammaproteobacteria; Enterobacterales; Enterobacteriaceae.
CCUACGGGAGGCUGCAGUGGGGAAUAUUGCACAAUGGGCGCAAGCCUGACGCAGCCAUGCCGCGUGUGUGAAGAAGGCCUUCGGGUUGUAAAGCUCUUUCAGCGGGGAGGAAGGCGUUAAGGUUAAUAACCUCGGCGACUGACGUUACCUGCAGAAGAAGCACCGGCUAACUCCGUGCCAGCAGCCGCGGUAAUACGGAGGGUGCAAGCGUUAAUCGGAAUUACUGGGCGUAAAGCGCACGCAGGCGGUCUGUCAAGUCGGAUGUGAAAUCCCCGGGCUCAACCUGGGAACUGCAUUCGAAACUGGCAGGCUAGAGUCUUGUAGAGGGGGGUAGAAUUCCAGGUGUAGCGGUGAAAUGCGUAGAGAUCUGGAGGAAUACCGGUGGCGAAGGCGGCCCCCUGGACAAAGACUGACGCUCAGGUGCGAAAGCGUGGGGAGCAAACAGGAUUAGAUACCCUUGUAGUC